AAAAGGUUUAAUUUUUGCUUAUAAAUUUAAUUUAAAUUUAAUAUUAAAUGUAUAUUGAUUGAAAUUUAUUCUUAAUGAUAAAUUUACAUGAUUUGCAAUAAAAAAUAUUAUUAAUUGGUGAGAAUUUGAUUUAGUUAUUUUUAUUAAAUAUUGAUAAAAUAUGUGCCAGCAAUCGCGGUUAAACAUAGAAUAUAAUUAAAUUUUGUUAGUUAAAAGUUAUUUGUAAUAUAAAUAAUCUUUAUAAUUAUUUUUAGGUGGAAUUUAAAUUUUUAUAAUGAUUAAAUGAAUAAAAUUAGGGGAGGCUAUGAAAUUCAUUAAAUUAAACUAGGAUUAGAUACCCUAUUAUUAUGAUUUUAAAAUUAUUAUACUUAGGUAGUAAUAGUUGAGAUCUUGAAACUUAAAAAAUUUGGCGGUAUUUUAGUCUACUUAGAGGAAUUUGUCCCGUUAUCGAUAGUCCGCGUUGAACCUAACCUUAAUUUAAAAUAUGUAUACCGCCGUUUAGAAAAUCUUUUUAGAGAAAAUUUUCUAUAACUUUUAUUUAAUUGUAUUUCAGGUCAAGGUGCAGUUUAUAUUAAGGUGGAGAUGAAUUACAAUAUUUAAAUAUAUUAUGAAUUAUAAAUUGAAAUAUUUAUAUGAAAGUGAAUUUAAUAGUAAUAUUAUAAAGAUUAUUAAUAUGAUUAUUUUAGCUCUAAAGUAUGUACAUAUCGCCCGUCACUCUCGUCUUAAGAUGAGAUAAGUCGUAACAAAGUAGGUGUACCGGAAGGUGUAGCUAGAAUAAUAAAU
This 783-nucleotide non-coding RNA is filed under the name Pseudoglomeris magnifica. Lineage: Eukaryota; Metazoa; Arthropoda; Insecta; Blattodea; Blaberidae. The record is from RNAcentral.